UGUCUGGCCAGCAGGUUCCCGAAGCCCGAGUCACAGCCCGUGAACAACACAUACUUGUCUUGGGGGUUGCUCACCACCUGCCUCUCCCAUACCAGCGCACGACGUGGUACAGGCUCAGGAGGGCUGACAGAUAUUUUUGUGCUUUUCCAGGAGAUAUUCUUCCAGAUGUAUAUCAAUCAGUACCUGUUUGUCAAGAACCUAAUUGGUAAACUGGUUGUGGCGUAAUCUCAACACUGCGGAGGCUGAGGUGGGAGGAUGCACAAUGUGGACCCUAGUCUGGACACCGCACCCCAGCUCUUCCACUCCACUUCUCAUGAAAUUUCUUGGAAGAAAUUUCCACUGAACAAGAGCUUUAGACAUCACAGCCUGUUUUCAGCUAAAGUCAUCAGCAACUAGGCCCCAUGCAGCUCAGAAUGCCAGAUUUCUGUAUCCACCCAGUUCACUGCCAUUCAGCCCAGUCUCCCUCAGUUAAACAAGAAAAAGAUUGACUUCACUUUUAUUAUUUAGGUGAGACAAAAUGUUUCCUCAGUUCCCAUCAAGUUUUAAUUUUGUUAAAGAAACAUAAUCCUAGUUCUCUUAAAAUCUCAUCCUAAGUAUCAUUCUUCUGCUGAUUUAUCAACUACCUAAUUUUUUUUCUUUUUCUUUUUCUUUUUUG
Molecule: long non-coding RNA, 655 nt
Organism: Fukomys damarensis (Damara mole-rat)
Lineage: Eukaryota; Metazoa; Chordata; Mammalia; Rodentia; Bathyergidae
Exons: 4
Source: RefSeq, a predicted model, not a curated record